This 440-nucleotide ribosomal RNA is filed under the name uncultured bacterium. RNAcentral describes it as "bacterial SSU rRNA". It matches the Rfam family "Bacterial small subunit ribosomal RNA", at positions 954 to 1392 of the family's 1533-position model. The record is from RNAcentral.
GCAGAACGCGAAGAACCUUACCUGGGCUAGAAAGCGUAAGAACCUCGGUGAAAACUGAGGGUGCCUUUCGGGGAACUUACGAUUAGGUGCUGCAUGGCUGUCGUCAGCUCAUGUCGUGAGAUGUUGGGUUAAGUCCCGCAACGAGCGCAACCCUUGUUGUUAGUUGCCAGCAUUAAGUUGGGCACUCUAACAAGACUGCCGACCUUUAAGUCGGAGGAAGGUGGGGAUGACGUCAAGUCCUCAUGGCCCUUACGUCCAGGGCUACACACGUACUACAAUGGGCGGUACAGAGGGAUGCAAAUCCGCAAGGUAGAGCUAAUCCCUAAAACCGUUCUCAGUUCAGAUUGGAGGCUGCAACUCGCCUCCAUGAAGGCGGAAUCGCUAGUAAUCGCGGAUCAGCUACGCCGCGGUGAAUACGUUCUCGGGUCUUGUACACACCG